This 494-nucleotide ribosomal RNA is filed under the name Allodessus megacephalus. Its description in RNAcentral is "partial 16S ribosomal RNA". The stretch from base 371 to 494 matches the Rfam family "Bacterial large subunit ribosomal RNA", at positions 2473 to 2597 of the family's 2925-position model. The record is from RNAcentral. Lineage: Eukaryota; Metazoa; Arthropoda; Insecta; Coleoptera; Dytiscidae.
AAAAUUUAAGGUCUAACCUGCCCAUUGAUUAUUUUAACGGCCGCAGUAUUUUGACUGUGCAAAGGUAGCAUAAUCAUUAGUUUUUUAAUUGAAAGCUUGUAUGAAUGGUUGGACGAGAUAUAAUCUGUCUUUAAAUUAUAAUUAGAAUUUAAUUUUUAAGUUAAAAAGCUUAAAUAAAAUUAAAAGACGAGAAGACCCUAUAGAUCUUUAUAAAUAUUAUAAUUUAAUUUUUAAGGAUUAAUAAUUUUUAUAUUAUUUUAUUUAUUUAAUUGGGGUAAUAAAAAGAUUUAAAUAAUUCUUUUUGUUUUAAACAUUGAUAAAUGAUUUAAAUGAUCCGUUAUUAUUGAUUAUAAGAUUAAGUUACCUUAGGGAUAACAGCGUAAUUUUUUUUGAGAGUUCUUAUCAAUAAAAAAGUUUGCGACCUCGAUGUUGGAUUAAAAUUAAUUUUGGGUGCAGAAGUUCAAAGUUUUAGUCUGUUCGACUAUUAAAAUUUU